UCCGUUGCAAAGCUGUUAGUGAAGCGUGAAAUGACCAUACUAACCCUAGCUAGCUCGUUCCACACAAAAAAAGGCCUUCUGGACAGUGUUCUCCUUGCAGCUUAACAUCGAUCGAUCAUCGGAAACUGCCGGCCUUGGUGGUUGGUCAUAAUUCCGAGGGAUCUUAGAUUAAUUCCCUGCCGGCCCACUCAUCAGAACGACGAUGCUACAGGAGGAACAACAACAACACGCUGUCAGUUGUCACAUUGCUGUGCACAAGCUAGCUAGUAGUGCACGUACUCUCGCAUGCACGACCGAAUAUAUGUGAAAGGGGAUCGAUCAGCAUGCAGCUAGCUAUAGCUAGAGACACGUACUGCAGAUAGAAAGAGCACGUACGGGAAUCCUGAUCGAUUUUAUUCGAUGCAACUUUGGCCCUUGUUGGUGCAUGUCCCAUCCCAUGAGCAGUGUACUAUACGUGAUCGAUGUUGUGAACACGUAUGUACGUACAGAUGGAUCGAUGGUGUAAAGUGGCCCAGCUGCUAAAGGUAGCUAUACGUAGGGAUGCAUGCAGUAGUAACAUGGCGUGCACUCUUGUUGGGUGUACGAGUACAUGCAUAUGUCGAGUCGGUGCAUAUAUAUUUUUCGUUUCAAUACAUGCUCUAGCUCAUGCACGCAGGUUUCUGUAA
Molecule: long non-coding RNA, 665 nt
Organism: Brachypodium distachyon (stiff brome)
Lineage: Eukaryota; Viridiplantae; Streptophyta; Magnoliopsida; Poales; Poaceae
Exons: 2
Source: RefSeq, a predicted model, not a curated record